Molecule: ribosomal RNA, 1221 nt
Filed under: Triticum aestivum (bread wheat)
Lineage: Eukaryota; Viridiplantae; Streptophyta; Magnoliopsida; Poales; Poaceae
Description: partial small subunit ribosomal RNA
Source: RNAcentral
AUGCUCGAGUGGCUCUUGCUCGGCCUUGGCCUCGGCUUCGGCAUUGCCCUCGGCCCGUUGAGCAAGAAGGCGGCGAUGGCAGCCCGGCUCCGCCAGAUGCUUGGGUGCGCUGCGCCAACCAGGAUAGCUCCUUGGCCGGACCUCCCGCCAGAGUUGUUGGGCCUUGUGCUCUUGCGCAUGCCGUCGCGCGCCGACCGCGUCCGCAUCUGCGCUGUUUGCCACUCGUGGCGCUCCGGCGCGCGGCUGCAGCCGCCGCCCCCGCUGCUCCCCUGGUUCGCCCUACGCGAGGGCAACUUCCUCAGCCUCCCCGACGGUGCAGUUCAUCGCAUGCCUCUCCCCGACUAUGACGACGUCCGCUACCGCGUGUCCACCGGCAGCCUGCUUUUCCUGGUGGACCACGACGGCAGGUGCUCCCUCGUGAGCCCUUCCUCUGGGAAGACAAUCCCUCUACAGAUCAACCCGGAUCUACUGGAGCUCAGGUCUCACGAGGACAUCCGCAAGGUGGUGGUGUCGGACGAUCUGCACACUGUUGUCGUUCUAACCACAAGCAAGACGAACUCCAAGAACGUCACCAUGUAUGCUCUUGGGCCGCAAGGGACCACGGCCAUGGAGUGGGCACCGCCCGUGAACAGCCUGGCCUUGGACAUUGCACUCUUCCAUGGGAAGCUCUACGUUCUCACCAGAGAACAUUCCGGUCUGCUUCCGGAGCUCCAUGUCCUGGAACCUAGAAACAUGGGCAUCAGGUCCGUCAAAUGCAUACAGAGAACGCAUAGAGACGAUGACGUAAAGCGCUUCUUCUUCUACCUUGUGGCGUCCGGAAACCGGCUGUUGAUGGUGGGACGGAUUGUCUAUCCGCAUCCCAUCGAUUCGCCCAUGCCAUCUCAGUGCUUCAAGGUCUUCCAGGCAGCUGACCUGAGUAGUGGCCACGGAUGGUGGAGCGAGGUCAAUACAUUGAUGGGGCAUGCUCUGUUCGUCAGCCAAGGCUGCUCUCGCUCACUUGCUGUUGGCAGUCAGUCUGUCAGUGGCGGAGCUCAAGAAGAUUGCGUCUAUUUUAUGGGCGAGCGGAGUGUGAUCAGUAAUAUUGAGGAGGACUUUCUGAAUUCCUGUGUGUACAACAUUAGAGACCAGACAGUGGGGCGGCUGCCGCUGGAGACACCUGCACCGUCAGGUCCUAGUUGGGGGAUUUGGUUGCCGACUUGGCUCUUUCCAGCUGAAGUUUGA